AGACCCGAAACCCGGUGAUCUAGCCAUGGGCAGGUUGAAGGUUGGGUAACACUAACUGGAGGACCGAACCGACUAAUGUUGAAAAAUUAGCGGAUGACCUGUGGCUGGGGGUGAAAGGCCAAUCAAACCGGGAGAUAGCUGGUUCUCCCCGAAAGCUAUUUAGGUAGCGCCUCGUGAAUUCAUCUCCGGGGGUAGAGCACUGUUUCGGCUAGGGGGCCAUCCCGGCUUACCAACCCGAUGCAAACUGCGAAUACCGGAGAAUGUUAUCACGGGAGACACACGGCGGGUGCUAACGUCCGUCGUGAAGAGGGAAACAACCCAGACCGCCAGCUAAGGUCCCAAAGUCAUGGUUAAGUGGGAAACGAUGUGGGAAGGCCCAGACAGCCAGGAUGUUGGCUUAGAAGCAGCCAUCAUUUAAAGAAAGCGUAAUAGCUCACUGGUCGAGUCGGCCUGCGCGGAAGAUGUAACGGGGCUAAACCAUGCACCGAAGCUGCGGCAGCGAACGUAUCACCCAAGACAACUUUACGGAGUUGACGAUUGACGGAGCGAAGCGACGUCAAAGCGUUCAUUAAAGUCGAGUUGGCUUAGGGAUACGUUCGUUGGGUAGGGGAGCGUUCUGUAAGCCUGUGAAGGUGUGUCGUGAGGCAUGCUGGAGGUAUCAGAAGUGCGAAUGCUGACAUAAGUAACGAUAAAGCGGGUGAAAAGCCCGCUCGCCGGAAGACCAAGGGUUCCUGUCCAACGUUAAUCGGGGCAGGGUGAGUCGACCCCUAAGGCGAGGCCGAAAGGCGUAGUCGAUGGGAAACGGGUUAAUAUUCCCGUACUUGGUGUUACUGCGAAGGGGGGACGGAGAAGGCUAUGUUGGCCGGGCGACGGUUGUCCCGGUUUAAGCGUGUAGGUGUGUGUUCCAGGUAAAUCCGGUUCACUUUAACACUGAGGCGUGACGACGAGGCACUACGGUGCUGAAGCAACAAAUGCCCUGCUUCCAGGAAAAGCCUCUAAGCAUCAGGUAACACGAAAUCGUACCCCAAACCGACACAGGUGGUCAGGUAGAGAAUACCAAGGCGCUUGAGAGAACUCGGGUGAAGGAACUAGGCAAAAUGGUGCCGUAACUUCGGGAGAAGGCACGCUGACACGUAGGUGAAGUGAUUUACUCAUGGAGCUGAAGUCAGUCGAAGAUACCAGCUGGCUGCAACUGUUUAUUAAAAACACAGCACUGUGCAAACACGAAAGUGGACGUAUACGGUGUGACGCCUGCCCGGUGCCGGAAGGUUAAUUGAUGGGGUCAGCGUAAGCGAAGCUCCUGAUCGAAGCCCCGGUAAACGGCGGCCGUAACUAUAACGGUCCUAAGGUAGCGAAAUUCCUUGUCGGGUAAGUUCCGACCUGCACGAAUGGCGUAAUGAUGGCCAGGCUGUCUCCACCCGAGACUCAGUGAAAUUGAACUCGCUGUGAAGAUGCAGUGUACCCGCGGCAAGACGGAAAGACCCCGUGAACCUUUACUAUAGCUUGACACUGAACAUUGAGCCUUGAUGUGUAGGAUAGGUGGGAGGCUUUGAAGUGUGGACGCCAGUCUGCAUGGAGCCGACCUUGAAAUACCACCCUUUAAUGUUUGAUGUUCUAACGUGGACCCGUAAUCCGGGUUGCGGACAGUGUCUGGUGGGUAGUUUGACUGGGGCGGUCUCCUCCUAAAGAGUAACGGAGGAGCACGAAGGUUGGCUAAUCCUGGUCGGACAUCAGGAGGUUAGUGCAAUGGCAUAAGCCAGCUUGACUGCGAGCGUGACGGCGCGAGCAGGUGCGAAAGCAGGUCAUAGUGAUCCGGUGGUUCUGAAUGGAAGGGCCAUCGCUCAACGGAUAAAAGGUACUCCGGGGAUAACAGGCUGAUACCGCCCAAGAGUUCAUAUCGACGGCGGUGUUUGGCACCUCGAUGUCGGCUCAUCACAUCCUGGGGCUGAAGUAGGUCCCAAGGGUAUGGCUGUUCGCCAUUUAAAGUGGUACGCGAGCUGGGUUUAGAACGUCGUGAGACAGUUCGGUCCCUAUCUGCCGUGGGCGCUGGAGAACUGAGGGGGGCUGCUCCUAGUACGAGAGGACCGGAGUGGACGCAUCACUGGUGUUCGGGUUGUCAUGCCAAUGGCACUGCCCGGUAGCUAAAUGCGGAAGAGAUAAGUGCUGAAAGCAUCUAAGCACGAAACUUGCCCCGAGAUGAGUUCUCCCUGAGACUUAGAGUCUCCUGAAGGAACGUUGAAGACGACGACGUUGAUAGGCCGGGUGUGUAAG
Molecule: ribosomal RNA, 2271 nt
Filed under: Salmonella enterica subsp. enterica serovar Typhimurium
Lineage: Bacteria; Pseudomonadati; Pseudomonadota; Gammaproteobacteria; Enterobacterales; Enterobacteriaceae
Description: partial 23S ribosomal RNA
Rfam family: Bacterial large subunit ribosomal RNA
Source: RNAcentral